CCGCCCUCCUCCCUCCGCCCUUCCUCCCCAGUGUUUGUUUCAAGCUUGUGCAACCGGGAGGUGGAGGCGGAGGGAGGGCGCGAGCGGCCCGGCCGGGAGGUGCGGAAGUUCGCCGCAGCAGCUCAUUGGCGGGCAGCGCCGCUUUCAUCAUUUCUCGGAAAAGUCAAUUUCAUUUUCGCUUCCCCAGGUCGCGGCGGCGGGAGCAACAAGCAGCGGCUCGUGAGUCCGCGGCUCGCACCCAGGGGCGCCCGCACGUGCGGCUAGAACGUCCGAGUCGGGGUCCGGGGCGGGGGGCGCAGGCCCGCGGCGGUAGGGGAGGAGAGCGGGCACCCGAGUCUCCAUCCUCAGGGUGGCCUGAAGGUUCCAGGAGGGCGUCCGGCGAAGGCACGGGGCUGCGACCAUCCAGUUAGCAGGGCUGGUGUGACUGUUGAGAGUAAAUGAAAAUUCGUUUUGUGACACCGACCACCUCCAAGGAAUGAAAGGAGCAGUCAGCCGAAACGACAGCAUUACUUGCGUCCUUACCUAAUUGGAACCUUAUCCGUGGCUGAGGGUGCCACCAUUGGAGGGGCCGCCGCCCCCUCUGACACCACCUGGCGCUCCGCUCCAUUUAGGAGCUAGAACGAAAAGGAGGCCCAUCCCCCAGUAAGUCACAGCCCACGCCAAGAUGAGUUCUGGAGCCUGUGCGACCGAAGUUUCUUCACCGCAGGGCGAGGUGGACAAGGGUGUGAGUUACUUUGACUUCAAGACGUCUCAGUGGCGGCUGGUUCUGGAGAGAGGCUUUAUGCUGGAGCACUUCCAGCAAAGUUCGGCUGGGGCCUCCUUAACUCACUGGCUGGUCACCCUUGGCCUCGGUUUUCAACCAAAGCCUAAGGCCUCAGUUUUCAACGCUGUAAAUGGAAAUAAAUGAGAGAAGAAAGUACAGCCCGUGUGACAAGUGCAGCAAGCAAUGCAACUUCCUUGGGACCUACCCUUUGUGGUCCCUUGCUUUAAAAGUAUAGAUUCACAUUUAGUUAGACCUGUUUCUUCCUCGCAUGCAAUUUCACCAGUCUUUUCCCAGACUUCUGUACUCAACAGAGGAAGUUCCUUCCUGGGAGACCAUAGCUGUUUGUAUGUAAAGAGUUGCGAAAAAACAAAAGCAAAACAAAAAACUCCAACACCUCUCUGUCACAGAAGUAUUGAAUUAUAUAGACUGGAAAAAUGGAAGUAUCCAAGAAAACGCGUGUGGUAAGAAAAUGGCUAAGGUGCAGGAUUCUGUUUUGUGGCUCUGGUCUCAGAAAUAGACCUCACAUACACAUUAUUCCUUAUCCCCUCUAUUAUAAUACUCACUUUUUUUUUUUUUUAAGAGACAGGGUAGGCCGGGUGCAGUGGCUCAUGCCUGUAAUCCCAGCAUUUUGGGAGGCCAAGGCAGGAGGAUCACCUGAGGUCGGGAGUUUGUGACCAGCCUGACCAACAUGGAGAAACUCCAUCUCUACUAAAAAUACAAAAUUAGCCAGGUUUGGUGGCGCAUGCCUCUAAUCCCAGCUACUUGGGAGGCUGAGGCAGGAGAAUUGCUUGAACCCAGGAGGCGCAGGUUGUGGUGAGCCGAGAUUGUGCCAUUGCACUCCAGCCUGGGCAACAAGAGCGAAACUCUGUCUCAAAAAAAAAAAAAAAAAAAAAAGAGAGGGUCUUGCUCUGUCACUCAGGUUGUGCUAUCAUAGCUUACUGUAACCUUGAACUCCUGGCCUUAAGCGAUCCUCCUGCUUCAACCUCCCAAGUAGCUGGGACUACAGGCCUGUGACAGUGCCUGGCCCAGGCACUGACUUUCUUAUGUCAUAUAGCAAUGACCACUAAGGGAAAGUCUAUACAAACUAUAGAAUAGUUGUCAUUCUUUACCCAACCCGGGACACAAGUUAAAAACCUAGUAUUCAUUUUUUUUUUCCUGUACCAAAACAAUCAUCUUCCUUUAUUUUUCCUGGAGCGGGAAGAGGAGAGUGGAGAAGAAGGGAAGAAUGCAAAGUGUCACUUUGAACUUCUCGUUCACCACACACGUGGGAGUCCACUCAUGUCAGCAGCCUCCGUGCACAGGCCCCAGGUGAAAGAAAGAAUGAGGUCUAGUUGGACCAGCUAACACUGCCUGCCUUGUGUUUACGAAAGGCAGCUGCCUCUGUGGUGUGAUUUCAGGGGAGCCAGACAGGGCCGGGGCCACGAACCUGCAUCCUGCAUCCUAAGCACCUAUUGCCAUGCGUGAGGCUAACUGGAAACUCACUUGCUGGGUGCAGAUAGCUUCCAAACUAUUGUGAUGCUCAUGCUUGACUUCCCAAGGAACGUGUUUCAGGAAAGGCCAUUGCCCUCAUUAUGGUCUUUGAUAAGCAGGAAGAAGUUUGUUGUUCCUUUUUUUUCUUAAUGCCCUACUUCGUGCAACAUACAUCCAAUCAGUCAUAUCCUAUUGACGCUACCCCUAAAUAUCUCUGGGCCUGGCCCGUGCUCAGGGCACUGCCUUCAUUCAGUUACUGCACUUGCCUGCUGCCUGUGCUCCUGGUCUCCUGCUUGGACUCCCCCAGGCCAGCAGCCACACUACUGCCAAAAUCCAGUCGAAAAUUAACUUCAGUGUGCAUUGGGAGACAUAGACUGCAAUGAAAAGAUCAUUAUUGCAAGAGACAAAUGGCAUGGAGCCACAUUCCCAGAGACAGAGUUUCACCAUGUUGCCCAGGCUGGUCUCAAACUCCUGAGCUCAAACCAUCACCCACCUCGGCUUCCCAAAGUGCUGGGAUUACAGGCGUGAGCCACCACAUCUGACCGCGGGAGUCCUUUUACCCAAAGCCACCCAACAGACCCACGCAGAGACUUUUAACCAGCAAUCGUCUCAGUUCCCUCUGAGGCUGCCGGCUCUCCCUGUGACAGCAGCCCAUCUUAGCCCUUCCUGUGUAUCUCUGCUGCCUAAAGGAUGAGAGUUUCCUAAAGUGUAGAACUGUGAGGGGUGGAGGGACAUUCCUCUCAUGCUGGCCUGAAUCCUGCACCUACUCUGGAGGUCUUUUGCCUUGUACCAUGGAGUUCGCCUACAUCACCUUGGAGAACCGACCCAGCACCUUCCAGGCCGGCUGGAUGCAUCCCCAGGAAGGAAGCCGCUGGUGGGGCCGGUCGCACUGAGUGCGCUUGGAGAACAAAGUGCUGUGUACAUUUCUGCUCAACACUACUCUAAGCCCACAGCGCCAGUUCAGAGGCUUUGGGAAGAGCAGGUGCCUUCAUCCAGUUUCCACUGUACCUCUUCUGAGGUACAGGAGAUAGAGGUCCCUCAUUUCAAGGUGACACUGGCAUCAGUCAAGCACAGAGCUAACCAACUGCCAAUCGUAAACAAGGAAGCCAGUGAGGACGCCCAAGGAAAGGCUCAGAAAGCUUCCGCCAGGGAGUGGGAUUUGAGCUCUACCUUACAGAACAGGUUGAAAAUAAAGAGCAGAGUAAUCAAAAGUAGAUUUAUGUGUGUAUAUGUAUCUGUUGCUAAUAUCCAGCCUUAAAAAUCCUUGACAGUGGCCUUCAGACUUAAACAUCUUCUCACUCCACCGAGAGCACCAAUCUGACAAACGCAUUCGGUCCUCUAGUCCAAUCCAGCUCAGUUUUCAAGCCAAGGGGAUUUUGCUGAAUUAUAUAUUCAAGAUAUCAGUAGAGUUAUAAAAGAAGGGUUGUUUCCCAGUUAAAUUAGGGAUGGUAGGAGGAAUCCUAGAUCCAACAUGUGGAAGAAAUAUGUGCAUUUAAUCAAAUCUCUAAGACAGCUCUUCAGCCUCUGAAAGCAUAGAUGGAAAACUAUCUCCUUGUGAUACUUUAACAGAUUCCUUAGGAACGAAAGAGAAAAGUUACAGUCAGUAACUUUUCAUGUCAGUGCCCGCAGACAUGAAUUCCUUGGCCCCUCUUAUAGCAUUCAUCAGUGGAUGGGCUGACGUAAUGACAGGCUCACUCAUUCAUGGUCACAUGCAGGAUGUACGGAAGAGUAGCUUCAAGUUAUUUGUUUUGUUUUUGGUUUUUUGUUUUUUUGAGACAGAGUCUCACUCUGUCGCCCAGGCUGGAGUGCAAUGGCACCAUUUUGGCUCACCGCAAGCUCCAUC
This 4076-nucleotide long non-coding RNA is filed under the name Homo sapiens (human). RNAcentral describes it as "HSALNT0081907". Lineage: Eukaryota; Metazoa; Chordata; Mammalia; Primates; Hominidae. The record is from RNAcentral.